AGAGACGAGUCAGUAGUUGACUCGUGGCUCAGAGUAGAACGUUGGCGGUAGGCCUAACACAUGCAAGUCGAACGGCAGCACAGUAAGAGCUUGCUCUUAUGGGUGGCGAGUGGCGGACGGGUGAGGAAUACAUCGGAAUCUACCUUUUCGUGGGGGAUAACGUAGGGAAACUUACGCUAAUACCGCAUACGACCUUCGGGUGAGAGCAGGGGACCUUCGGGCCUUGCGCGGAUAGAUGAGCCGAUGUCGGAUUAGCUAGUUGGCGGGGUAAAGGCCCACCAAGGCGACGAUCCGUAGCUGGUCUGAGAGGAUGAUCAGCCACACUGGAACUGAGACACGGUCCAG
RNAcentral lists this ribosomal RNA (345 nucleotides) under uncultured bacterium. RNAcentral describes it as "bacterial SSU rRNA". It matches the Rfam family "Bacterial small subunit ribosomal RNA", at positions 1 to 334 of the family's 1533-position model. The record is from RNAcentral.